RNAcentral lists this long non-coding RNA (564 nucleotides) under Piliocolobus tephrosceles (Ugandan red Colobus). RNAcentral's name for it is "lncRNA (ENSPTEG00000002848.1)". The record is from RNAcentral. Lineage: Eukaryota; Metazoa; Chordata; Mammalia; Primates; Cercopithecidae.
AUGGAUGUAUUCUUUUGUUUUUUUAAUAAACUAAAAGCGUUUUGUUCAUUAAUUUGGUUUUGUUCAUUUAUUUGGGUUUGUUUAUUUAUUUGGGUUUGUUCAUUUAUUUGGGUUUGUUCAUUUAUUUGGGNNNNNNNNNNAUUUAUUUGGGUUUGUUCAUUUAUUUGGGUUUGUUCAUUUAUUUGGUUUUGUUUAUUUACAUACUUGUUGAGUAGCCAACCGGCAAAGCUUUUAUCAGUUGUAUUUGGGUAGAUAACAUUGUUUCCGAUAUUAUUGUUAAUUAUGUUGUUAUAGCUAGUUACGUUGUUAUAUUUAAGUUCACUAUUGUAAUUGGUUGCGUUGCUUGUGCUAGCAUAAUUGUUAAUAGUAGAGACGGGAGUAACCCCAUCUAACCCACUACUAAAAUUUUUUUGCAUUUUUUUUUUCAUUUGAAAAAAAGGAACUACAUUAUUAUUAUCACUCCUAGUAGUUAUAGUAGUGUAAUUACUAUGGUUUGUACUUAAGUCGCUAACAUACUGAUGAACAUUUUUUUUAAUAAAUUCCUUAUCAGAUGUUAUAUCCUCA